GAGGGGGUCAACUGUCCUCCCUGUACCAAAAGAGGCCAACGUCAUGACACUAUACAACGUUUGACAUGUUUGAACGAACGUAAAUAUAUUUUUUCCCCUCGUUCAUGAAGUGAAGUCCGGCGGGCUUAGAUCAUGUGCUAACAACACGGAGCUUUUUGGACAUAAAUGAUGAGCUUUUUUGAACAAAACUACAUUCGUUAUGGACCUGGGAUCCCUGGAAGUGACAUCUGAUGAAGAGAAUCAAAGGUAAUGGAUUAUUUACAUAGUAUUUUAGAUUUUAGAUCUCUCCAACAUGGCGGUUAGUCUGUAUCGCAAAGCGUAUUUUUCUGGGCGCAUCGAUUGCGUUCAAGAGAUGUAAAUCUAUAAUUCUUUAAAUGACAAUAUAAUAUUUUACCAAUGUUUUCUAAUAUUAAUGAUUUAAUUUGUUGUGCUGACUUGACUGCCGGUUAUUGGAGGGAAACGAUUUCCUGAACAUCAACGCCAUAGUAAAACGCUAUUUUUGGAUAUAAAUAUGAACUUGAUAGAACUAAAAAUGCAUGUAUUGUCUAACAUAAUGUCCUAGGAGUGUCAUCUGAUGGAGAUUGUCAAAGGUUAGUGCAUAACUUCAGCUGAUUUUGUGGUUUUGGUGAUGCCUGUCUUUGAAUUGACAAAACAUUACACACAGCUAUUGUCAAUGUACUCUCCUAACAUAAUCUAUCUUUAUGCUUUCGCCGUAAAACCUUUUUGAAAUCGGACAAUGUGGUUAGAUUAAGGAGAUGUUUAUCUUUCAAAGGGUGUAAGAUAGUUGUAUGUUUGAAAAAUUUGAAUUUUGACAUUUAUUUGGUUUCAAAUUUGCCGCUCUUGAAAUGCACCUGCUGUUGAUAGGGUGCACCACGGGUGGCACGCUAGCGUCCCACAUAGCCCCAAGAGGUUAACACACUAGCAAGUUCGAAACAAACCCCACUCCUCAUUCACUGCACAUAGAACCCCAUCCAAUCCCUCUCAAAAUCCCCCAGAUGGUUUUCCAUCCUCCCAUAUGCAUACUCCAGUGUGAGCCGAGCCGGCAUAAGUACUAGCAGCACAGCUCUGGGGUCUAUACACCCCGCCACAUGCAUCUCAUGUUUCCUGGCACACUGCCAUUUUUAACUGUCCCAACCAGUAGUUUACUAGGCAGUCCCUUCACCUAUUGGCUACGCUAUACGUAGGCCCGCCAAUAAAUGGGUCCAGAGUCAGACCCAAAAACAAAAGUAGGGUGGUUGGUCGGGGUGGAGGGAGGGCUUAUAACAUGAUUAUCUAGCAACCAAAAGGUUGUGAGAUCCAAUCUCAUCACGGACAACUUCAGAAUUUUUGCUAAUUAGCAACUUUUCAACUACUUACUACUUUUUAGCUACUUUGCAACUACUCAGCAUGUUAGCUAACCCUGACCCUAACCUUCUCUAUGAGAGGCUUAUACAGGGAGCGCCAACAUCCUCUCAGAGAGGAGCCACGUUCCCAACCCCCGUCCCUCUACCACCCUGUUGCCCUCAGCCCAUGCAGAUGGUCUUUCUGAGCCACCUUCACAGCUACCAUGUACAGAGCCUUUUUGCUGUGCAAAAGGUUCCCAGCUUUGGAGUCUUGAACGAUAGGAUCAUUCCCUCACCCUACUGGUAUUCUCUGCAGUGGCAGCAAUUGUGAAAGGAGGUAGAUCAGUGUCAUUAGUGGUUAGACGGUUCCAGUCUCCCUAGCGGCUCUCUGAAUGAGCCCGGAAGUGCAGCAUGGACCCCCUCCACCUCCUGCUGCAGCAGCCUGGCUGACCUUGUGGAUGAAGCCUCCGCGAUGUCGCUGGCAGAUUUCCACCCAGCCUCUUCUUCCAGGUCACCCAACUUAGUGAUCCCCGCUCUCACAAGCCUGGCUUGCAAGCUGGCGGAGGUCAACACUCUGGACUGGAUGAAUAGGUUGUGCAACGGUGGCUUCUCCAUUAUCCAUGGCCAUGAAACAUCUCUGUGAGCAGAUACCAAGGUCAUACCCAAGGUCCUGUGCUCUCCUCAGAACAGCCCAAGCACUGUCCCUGCAGCACACACCCUUCUGGUACAGAAGUCUCUUUGCAGCUUUAAGACGGAAAGCUGUCACUCUGGACCCAAUAUCCACCAGCCCUUGGCCCCCGUGAUGCAAAGGGAGAUGUAACACUUCUGCAUGUGGCCAGUGUUGACCAAAAUAAAUCCACCUGUGACCUCUGCAGUUGCUAGACGAGACUCUGUGGGGUUCCAACACCAUCAGCCUGUGAUAGAUCAUUGAAGCCGCCAAGUUAUUGGUGACCAGUGGCAACAACCACCGCCAUUUAGACAACUUAACUGCAACCUUGUCCACCAGCCCCUCCCAGUUUCUCUCCUGAAACUCUGAGGCCCCCAAGAACACCCUUAAGAACAUCUCUUCUCUGCCCCACUGUAGCCCCCCAGGAAGACUAGGAGAUCCUGCUAUGACCCAGUGUAACCCCCCAGGAAGCCUAGGAGAUCCUGCUCUGACCCACUGUAACCCCCCCAGGAAGACCAGGAGAUCCUGCUCUGACCCACUGUAGCCCCCCAGGAAGACUAGGAGAUCCUGCUCUGACCCACUGUAGCCCCCCAGGAAGACUAGGAGAUCCUGCUCUGACCCACUGUAACCCCCCAGGAAGACUAGGAGAUCCUGCUCUGACCCACUGUAGCCCCCAAGGAAGACUAGGAGAUCCUGCUCUGACCCACUGUAACCCCCCCAGGAAGCCUAGGAGAUCCUGCUCUGACCCACUGUAACCCCCCAGGAAGACUAGGAGAUCCUGCUCUGGCCCACUGUAACCCCCCAGGAAGACUAGGAGAUCCUGCUCUGACCCACUGUAACCCCCCAGGAAGACUAGGAGAUCCUGCUCUGACCCACUGUAGCCCCCCAGGAAGACUAGGAGAUCCUGCUCUGACCCACUGUCACCUUAGCUGAUACCAUCACCUCAAACAACAAUAAAGCCUUGCUAAACUCUUCUACAUCUCCCUCCCCUUUAAAAACACUGUUACAUCAUCAGCAGAAGCCGACAAUGAAACCGUCUCCGACAAU
Molecule: long non-coding RNA, 3036 nt
Filed under: Salmo salar (Atlantic salmon)
Lineage: Eukaryota; Metazoa; Chordata; Actinopteri; Salmoniformes; Salmonidae
Description: lncRNA (ENSSSAG00000107587.1)
Source: RNAcentral